This 253-nucleotide ribosomal RNA is filed under the name uncultured bacterium. RNAcentral describes it as "partial 16S ribosomal RNA". It matches the Rfam family "Bacterial small subunit ribosomal RNA", at positions 524 to 776 of the family's 1533-position model. The record is from RNAcentral.
UACGUAGGGUGCGAGCGUUAAUCGGAAUUACUGGGCGUAAAGCGUGCGCAGGCGGUUCUCCAAGUCCGUUGUGAAAGCCCCGGGCUCAACCUGGGAAUGGCAGUGGAAACUAGGGGACUGGAAUCUGGCAGAGGGGGGUGGAAUGCCGCGUGUAGCAGUGAAAUACGUAGAGAUGCGGCGGAACACCGAUGGCGAAGGCAGCCCCCUGGGCUGAGAUUGACGCUCAGGCACGAAAGCGUGGGGAGCAAACAGG